Molecule: ribosomal RNA, 200 nt
Filed under: uncultured bacterium
Lineage: Bacteria
Description: partial 16S ribosomal RNA
Rfam family: Bacterial small subunit ribosomal RNA
Source: RNAcentral
ACGCUCGACACCUACGGGAGGCAGCAGUGGGGAAUAUUGCACAAUGGGGGAAACCCUGAUGCAGCGACGCCGCGUGAAGGAAGAAGUAUCUCGGUAUGUAAACUUCUAUCAGCAGGGAAGAAAGUGACGGUACCUGACUAAGAAGCCCCGGCUAACUACGUGCCAACAGCCGCGGUAAUCUGAGGCGGGCUGGCGAAGGC